CACCCCGUAGCUUAAUUGGUUAAAGCCUUGCACUUUUAAUGCAGAGAGUUCGAGUCUCGGCGGGGUGA
RNAcentral lists this transfer RNA (68 nucleotides) under Caudoviricetes sp. RNAcentral's name for it is "tRNA-Lys". It matches the Rfam family "tRNA". Rfam says of the family: Transfer RNA (tRNA) molecules are approximately 80 nucleotides in length. Their secondary structure includes four short double-helical elements and three loops (D, anti-codon, and T loops). Lineage: Duplodnaviria; Heunggongvirae; Uroviricota; Caudoviricetes. The record is from RNAcentral.